AAAAAAUAGACCUUAUAAAAUGCUUGAUUGUGAGUACAUAUAUAUACUUCAAAUAAAAAAGUAAAAAAUAAAAAUGGUUGUUCAAAUAAUAUGUUUUUGUUCUGAGAAAAAAAAAAAAAAAAAAAAAGGGGAAAGUGGGUGUUUUAAUAUUAUUAUUAUUAUUAUUUUUAUUUUUAUUUUUUUUUUUUAUUUUUAAUCAACAUAAAAUGUUAUUUGUUGUAAAUACGUGUAUAUAGAAGUUCAACGUGUGUUAUAAGAUUCGAAACAAAGCUACCUAAAAAAUAAAUCUCACAUGCCCGUAAACACAUAGCACUUGUUCCAAAAUGAUGGAAAUAAAAUUAAACGUCAUUUUUAACGAAAUAUUACUAAGCCGAAGUGAUGAGCAUGUAAUUGAAAAUCACGAUAAUUUUUUUAUAGAUAAGCAACAAAACAUACUAUGUGCUGAAUGCAUUAAUAAACUAUUUUUUAGUAAAUCACCAUUAUAUAAAAAAUAUCUAUUAUUUAAUUGUAUUAAUGAAUUAUAUUCUUUAAAAAAUUGUUCAGAUUUUCGUUACAAUUUUUCUUUUUUUUUAUUAGACCAUACAUUAUUCUUAUCUAAUACAUUUAGUUAUUUAGAAGACAAGGUAAGUAGCAGUGAUAAAAACCAUGAGAUAGCUAGUGAUGAUGUGUAUAAUAAUGGAGAUGAUUAUAUUUAUUCUGUCAAGCAUGAAUUGAUUAUAUUAGCAACAAGUGCAUGUAAAGAGUUUUUAAAUAGCUGUACAAAGGAACUAUUUAACAUUUUUAAAGAUGCAAUAUAUACUUGUGUACUUGUUCGAUUAAAAAAUAUUUCUUCUAAUAAUAGAAAUUUAUUUUUUAUUUUAAAGAUUUUAAAAAGUUUAAUAGAUAACGUAAAAACAAUACAUACAUCAUUAAAAGAAGAACCAGCUUUAAUAGAAGAGAUUAUAAAAAUUUUUAUUAAAAAAUAUUCUAUUAAUACAAACAAAGGGGGAGAAAAAGAAAAAAAAUAUAUAACAACAUAUGUAGAAAACGUUUUCAAUACAAAAGAUGGAUAUUCUGUUAUUAAUGACCAAUAUAGUCAUAAUAACAAAGUUAUAGGAUAUAUCCCAAAUGAUAUUGAUUACAAAAACAGUAGUAGUAAUAAUAAUAAUAAUAAUAAUAAUAAUAAUAAUAAUAGUAGCAGUAAUACUAAUAAUAACAUCCACAGUAAUGAGAAUGACAGCAAUAAUAGACAUCAUUACAUGUAUGACAGUAAUAACAAUGGCGAUAGCAAUAAUAAAGAAAUGAUACUUAUUGUUCAAAUAAUUUUUAAUUUAUGGUGUGAAAAUUCUUUAUGGCAAAUUAAAAAAGAAUUAAUAAAAAGUUUUUUUGAUAAUAUUAUAAAAAAUUUUAAAUAUACUAGUAAAAAUAAUGAAAUAUGUAAUUAUUAUAUUCAGUUUUUAUAUUUGAUAUCACAAAACAAAAAUGACUUAAUUUAUUUUUUUAACACCAUAUUAUUUGAUAGUAGUGAUAGUUCAAAAAAUGUGUCAACUGACAAUGAUAAUGAUAAAAAGGGUACUUUUAAAAAUGAACUAAAUAGGACUAUCCAUAGUUGUGAUGAUAUAAAAAAAGGAGUACUGCAGCAACAACAACAGCAACAGCAGUUUAUUAACAGUGACCAUAUGAAUAGUCAUAGCUAUAAAAAUAUCGAUGACGAUAGUAGGCUGUCGACAAAUUUUAUUUUUGAAAACGAUAUGGCUAAUGACAACUUUGAUACAAUAGAUAAGUUUGAGCAGUAUGUACAGGAGCAAAAUAAGAUAUUAAAUGAUAACAGCAAAAACAACAGUAUCAACCACUACAGUUAUAACAAAAAUAGUAAGAACUAUCGAAAAGAUAAACUAAAAAUAGAUGAACAAGUAGUUGUGCCUAGUAAUUACAACCAUGAAUCUAACAAUAAUACUCUAGAAAAAGAAGAAGGUUUUAGCAUAUUAUUAAAAAGUAACGCUAUCGACAGUGAUAAUCUAAAAAAUGACACGCUACAAAGUGACACGAUACCAAAUGCGCAUGUAUUGCAAGAAUUAAAAAAAAAAAAAAAAAAAAAAAAAAGUAACGACGAAUAUAACGACCAGGUGAUGGAUAUGUACCAGUCUGCCGAGGUUUACAGCGAUUGCAAUAAAAGUAUUAUAUAUGAUUUAAAUUGUUCCAACAGCUUUAGAAAUUAUAAUACAGACGAAGACGAGAAUGACAUGUCAAGAGAAGGAUAUGUUUACGGAUGUGUAAGACAAAAACAAGAACGUAAACUCAAACAGUGUUACCCUAAUAAGUGUCAAAAAUUUAACUCCAACACUCCUGAUAGUAGCAUACUAAAAAGCUUCGAUAAUAAUUAUGAAAGUGGUAUAAUGGCUGCUCAAAAGAUUAAAAAAAAAACUUUUAAUAAAUUUUAUGAUAAUGGAAAAGCAUUAGUUACAAAUAAAAAUCAACAUAAUGGUAAAGAAGGACAAGAACUGAUAACAUCUGAACAUGUGAAUUGGGUAACAAUGGCAUCUCCAAAUGGAUAUGUAAGUGAUGGCCACUCCUACUGGAUUGAUGAGCAUUCUAAAGAAAUAGAAAACGAAAAGGAUGACCUUAGGUUAUUUUGCAACACACAAGAUGACGAAAACGGAGAAAGCGAUGGUAGCAACUGUAGUAACAGUAAUCACAGUAACCCUAACAAUACACUAUUUAGUAAUGAUUCGUAUAAUAACACGAACACAUUGAAAAAAAAAAAUAAUUUCGAGUUAAAAUUAUCAAGUAAAACAAAAGAUACACAUAUUUUUAUUUUUAUUACUUUAUGUGAUAAUUUACAAGAAACAUUACUAAAUAAUUUUAAUAAAGAUAUACAGAUAAAAUGCCUUGAUAUAUUUUACCAGUUUUGUAGUAUAAGUG
Molecule: long non-coding RNA, 2901 nt
Organism: Piliocolobus tephrosceles (Ugandan red Colobus)
Lineage: Eukaryota; Metazoa; Chordata; Mammalia; Primates; Cercopithecidae
Source: Ensembl